This 301-nucleotide ribosomal RNA is filed under the name uncultured bacterium. RNAcentral's name for it is "partial 16S ribosomal RNA". It matches the Rfam family "Bacterial small subunit ribosomal RNA", at positions 509 to 807 of the family's 1533-position model. The record is from RNAcentral.
CAGUCGCCGCGGGAAUACGUAGGUGGCAAGCGUUGUUCGGAAUUAUUGGGCGUAAAGGGCUCGCAGGCGGUUUCUUAAGUCUGAUGUGAAAGCCCCCGGCUCAACCGGGGAGGGUCAUUGGAAACUGGGAAACUUGAGUGCAGAAGAGGAGAGUGGAAUUCCACGUGUAGCGGUGAAAUGCGUAGAGAUGUGGAGGAACACCAGUGGCGAAGGCGACUCUCUGGUCUGUAACUGACGCUGAGGAGCGAAAGCGUGGGGAGCGAACAGGAUUAGAUACCCCUGUAGUCCCUGUCUCUUAUAC